CAGUCGCCGCGGUAAUACGAAGGGGGCUAGCGUUGUUCGGAUUUACUGGGCGUAAAGGGCGCGUAGGCGGACUGAUAAGUCAGGGGUGAAAUCCCAAGGCUCAACCUUGGAACUGCCUUUGAUACUGUUUGUCUUGGGUUCGAGAGAGGUAAGUGGAACUGCGAGUGUAGAGGUGAAAUUCGUAGAUAUUCGCAAGAACACCAGUGGCGAAGGCGGCUUACUGGCUCGAUACUGACGCUGAGGCGCGAAAGCGUGUGGAGCAAACAGGAUUAGAUACCCGAGUAGUCCCUGUCUCUUAUAC
Molecule: ribosomal RNA, 301 nt
Filed under: uncultured bacterium
Lineage: Bacteria
Description: partial 16S ribosomal RNA
Rfam family: Bacterial small subunit ribosomal RNA
Source: RNAcentral